Molecule: ribosomal RNA, 546 nt
Filed under: uncultured fungus
Lineage: Eukaryota; Fungi
Description: eukaryotic LSU rRNA
Rfam family: Eukaryotic large subunit ribosomal RNA (bases 277-546)
Source: RNAcentral
CGAAAUGCGAUAAGUAGUGUGAAUUGCAGAAUUCCGUGAAUCAUCGAAUCUUUGAACGCACAUUGCGCCCCGUGGUAAUCCGUGGGGCAUGCCUGUUCGAGCGUCACUAAAAUCAACUCAACCACUCUUGUGCUUGGUCAUGGAGGAAGAGUCCACCUUCUUGAGGUCUCCCCUCCCAAAAUCAACGGCGGAAAGUUGCUGGCACUCGGCGUAGUAGUAUCGUUCGCCGACCGUCCAGUGUCCUUCCUGCCGGCAAAUCCCCACAAUUCUCUUGAUUGACCUCGGAUCAGGUAGGGAUACCCGCUGAACUUAAGCAUAUCAAUAAGCGGAGGAAAAGAAACCAACAGGGAUUGCCUUAGUAACUGCGAGUGAAGCGGCAAAAGCUCAAAUUUGAAAUCUGCGCCUACCCAAGGCGUCGAGUUGUAAUUUGGAGGGACAACUUCGGAAUGAACCACAUCGUAAGUUCCUUGGAACAGGACGUCAUAGAGGGUGAGAAUCCCGUGCCUUGAUGUCGGGUCAAACCAUGUGAAGUGUCUCCGACGAGUC